Molecule: long non-coding RNA, 148 nt
Organism: Hibiscus syriacus
Lineage: Eukaryota; Viridiplantae; Streptophyta; Magnoliopsida; Malvales; Malvaceae
Exons: 2
Source: RefSeq, a predicted model, not a curated record
AUAUAUAUAUAUAUAUCAUUUUGUAUAGUAUAGUAGUAUUGGAAGCUAGGGUAAUAGGGUUUCUGUAAUUCUUUUUGGAAUGUUGAUUUUCAAAGCUAUGGUGAAAUAUUAUACGCUUUCUAAUUAAAUCAAUGAGGCAGAGUUGAGA